ACAGAAAGUGCUAAAACUAUCCUGGCAGUAUUCAGAAUGAUGGCUGGAGAGGACUCAAAUAGGUCAAGAAAAUUAAGUCCUAAAAGUAUUUUUCAAUAUUAAACUAUCUUGAUCUGUUUUUUUCAAACCUGCCAUCUAGUAUGAUAAGAUUUUAUUAUUUAAUAUGCACAGGUCUAAUCGUAGGCCUGAUGAGGAAAUAACAACAAUCUGCUUCAAAACAAAUCCAGAUCAUAACCCUCCAUCUACCCUGGUUUACUUUUUUUGUUCCAUUCAUUCUCUGCCUCACCACCUUUCUAUCCCUUGACAUAGUAGAAUCACAUAUAUUGUUAUGUUGGGAUUAAAUAUAUUUUAACAUUUCAUGUUAAGAAAAAAUCCACUCUUUUUGCAUAGCAUUUGAGCAAGGUGUUUAAGAAAAGAGUCAAAGACAAAAAUUGUAAACAGAAUUAAAUCUUUUUCUGUAAUUAUUAUACACAAUUUAUGAAAGACUUAAACUGAAGGCACGGAUUUUGAUCACAUGAUGUUUACCCCAGAUUUAUAGAACUCAAAUCCUGAGAUUUUCAUCUUAAUCUUCAAUAAGAGAUUAAUACUGGUGAGAAUACAUUACAAAACGUCUUGUGUGUCCAAGCUGUCUGCAUUCGUAAACAAAAUCGGAUCAAAAUAACAGUCAUUUUAGAGGUAAUACAAGUUUGAAAUGGUUCUGAAGUUAGGCACCUAUCAAGAGACUUGCACUAGUUCAUUUAUUUGAAAACACAUAUUAUUAUUCAAAACAGUAUGCAAAAUUUUAUCUGCCUCUGAGGUAACAUGGCAUCUGAACAGUUGCCCUUAUUCAACAUAAUUUCACCUUUUCUAAGUAAUACCACCUUCCUUAAGGGCUUUUCAAACAAGAGUAAACCCAUCCUUAAAGCUACAAUAAACGAUAUAGACUCUUAUAAAUCUAGAGCAAUGUAAAAAAUGUAACAAUGUAAAAAUGUAACAAUGUAGCAAUGUAAAAGUCAGGGGAAACAAGAGACAACUGCUAAAUCCAUCCAAUAGUUUUGAUAAAAAUUUCUGAUAUAUUCUCUACAGGCGUGCCAGUUCUUUUAUAUGCAGAAAACCACAGUUUCAGGACUUACAUGAUCUUAAGACUUUCAUAGAAUUGUAACUAUGGGAUAUGACUGGAUUAGUAUGAUGGCAGAACCUUCUUUUAGCUCUAAAGCUAAAAGCGAGAUUUCUUUUUCCUUUAAAUUGUUUAUUUCUUCGCCUUUCUUUUUCUCAUUCUAAAUCUCUGCCCAAUCUAGAGGAAGGAUCCACAAACAAGAAUAUGGGGCUAAUGUGACCUAAUUCAUUUUUUGGCUACACAGGCUUACAACUGUGAAGUGAAUGGUUUUAUAAUGAUAUCUGGAACAAGAACAACAAAGUACUUAAGCUUGCAAACACUAGGAAAAAAAAA
Molecule: long non-coding RNA, 1429 nt
Filed under: Strigops habroptila (Kakapo)
Lineage: Eukaryota; Metazoa; Chordata; Aves; Psittaciformes; Psittacidae
Description: lncRNA (ENSSHBG00005012038.1)
Source: RNAcentral